This 468-nucleotide ribosomal RNA is filed under the name uncultured bacterium. RNAcentral describes it as "SSU rRNA". It matches the Rfam family "Bacterial small subunit ribosomal RNA", at positions 26 to 523 of the family's 1533-position model. The record is from RNAcentral.
AGAACGAACGCUGGCGGCACGCCUAACACAUGCAAGUCGAACGAAUAAGAGCCUAGUUUACUAGGAAUUCUGUUAGUGGCAGACGGGUGAGUAACGCGUGGGAAUCUACCUAGUAGUAUGGAAUAACAGUUGGAAACAACUGCUAAUACCGUAUAUUCUCCGAGGAGGAAAGAUUUAUCGCUACUAGAUGAGCCCGCGUUAGAUUAGGUAGUUGGUAGGGUAAUGGCCUACCAAGCCUACGAUCUAUAGCUGGUCUGAGAGGACAAUCAGCCACACUGGGACUGAGACACGGCCCAGACUCCUACGGGAGGCAGCAGUGGGGAAUAUUGGACAAUGGGCGAAAGCCUGAUCCAGCGAUGCCGCGUGAGUGAAGAAGGCCUUAGGGUUGUAAAGCUCUUUCAGCAGGGAAGAUAAUGACGGUACCUGCAGAAGAAGCCCCGGCUAACUCCGUGCCAGCAGCCGCGGUAA